GAUGAACGCUGGCGGCGUGCUUAACACAUGCAAGUCGAACGAUGAAGGGAGCUUGCUCCUGGAUUAGUGGCGAACGGGUGAGUAACACGUGAGUAACCUGCCCUUGACUCUGGGAUAAGCCUGGGAAACUGGGUCUAAUACCGGAUAUGACCUUCCAUCGCAUGGUGGUUGGUGGAAAGCUUUUGUGGUUUUGGAUGGACUCGCGGCCUAUCAGCUUGUUGGUGAGGUAAUGGCUUACCAAGGCGACGACGGGUAGCCGGCCUGAGAGGGUGACCGGCCACACUGGGACUGAGACACGGCCCAGACUCCUACGGGAGGCAGCAGUGGGGAAUAUUGCACAAUGGGCGCAAGCCUGAUGCAGCGACGCCGCGUGAGGGAUGACGGCCUUCGGGUUGUAAACCUCUUUCAGUAGGGAAGAAGCCGCAAGGUGACGGUACCUGCAGAAGAAGCGCCGGCUAACUACGUGCCAGCAGCCGCGGUAAUACGUAGGGCGCAAGCGUUAUCCGGAAUUAUUGGGCGUAAAGAGCUCGUAGGCGGUUUGUCGCGUCUGCCGUGAAAGUCCGGGGCUCAACUCCGGAUCUGCGGUGGGUACGGGCAGACUAGAGUGAUGUAGGGGAGACUGGAAUUCCUGGUGUAGCGGUGAAAUGCGCAGAUAUCAGGAGGAACACCGAUGGCGAAGGCAGGUCUCUGGGCAUUAACUGACGCUGAGGAGCGAAAGCAUGGGGAGCGAACAGGAUUAGAUACCCUGGUAGUCCAUGCCGUAAACGUUGGGCACUAGGUGUGGGGGACAUUCCACGUUUUCCGCGCCGUAGCUAACGCAUUAAGUGCCCCGCCUGGGGAGUACGGCCGCAAGGCUAAAACUCAAAGGAAUUGACGGGGGCCCGCACAAGCGGCGGAGCAUGCGGAUUAAUUCGAUGCAACGCGAAGAACCUUACCAAGGCUUGACAUGAACCGGACCGCUGCAGAAAUGUGGUUUCCCCUUUGGGGCUGGUUUACAGGUGGUGCAUGGUUGUCGUCAGCUCGUGUCGUGAGAUGUUGGGUUAAGUCCCGCAACGAGCGCAACCCUCGUUCUAUGUUGCCAGCACGUGAUGGUGGGGACUCAUAGGAGACUGCCGGGGUCAACUCGGAGGAAGGUGGGGACGACGUCAAAUCAUCAUGCCCCUUAUGUCU
Molecule: ribosomal RNA, 1170 nt
Filed under: Arthrobacter sp.
Lineage: Bacteria; Bacillati; Actinomycetota; Actinomycetes; Micrococcales; Micrococcaceae
Description: bacterial SSU rRNA
Rfam family: Bacterial small subunit ribosomal RNA
Source: RNAcentral